GGGACAGUGGGAAGAUAGGGGUGGUGCUGGUCGGGUGUCUCGCAGGGUGGAGGGGGGCAGCAGGGCCGUUCACGCCACGGCCGGAGGUGUCGUCGCCAGCGUACAAAAAUCCUGAGACUUGGGGGUGGUUCGAUCAGGCAAGGUCUCCUUCGUCUACCAGUGGAAGGGGGUACUGGAAUCUCUGAAGCUCCAAUCCGUCUGUCUGCUCCCCAACAGAAAAUGUUCCCUAGGUUGAGGAUUCAAAAUCACUCCCUCUGUUUUUAUUUUUCGUUUAAUUUCC
RNAcentral lists this unclassified non-coding RNA (280 nucleotides) under Hevea brasiliensis (rubber tree). Lineage: Eukaryota; Viridiplantae; Streptophyta; Magnoliopsida; Malpighiales; Euphorbiaceae. The record is from RNAcentral.